Molecule: non-coding RNA, 458 nt
Organism: Paramuricea clavata
Lineage: Eukaryota; Metazoa; Cnidaria; Anthozoa; Malacalcyonacea; Plexauridae
Source: the annotation of a GenBank genome assembly
AUCGCCAGAAUGGUUGCUUCGUCCCAUUUUAUACGAGACAGAUCACGACACUUAAUAAUACAAAAUACAAUACAAAACAGCACAAACAUGAAACACAGUUAUUAGCCGUUUUCACAUCAGAAGACGGACAAGUCGUCCAGACGAACAAACCGUCCCAAAAUCGUCUUUUAGUGGGACAAUCAUCAGAUGUGAAAACGUGUCGGACAAAAUUUUAGACGAACAAGUCGUCUGAAUUGUUCGACUACUUGUCUGUCUGUGAAGACGACCCUGGAGACGAUCCGUUCGCCCAGACGACCCGUCCGCCUCUAAUGUGAAUAAGGCUAUUUACUUAGUUCUAUGACAUGGACAGUCACGCACUAAUGACCAUGUACAUGGCAUUUCUAUAUCGAACAUUGUUCCGAGCAAGUGUUCAUAUGUGCUUCUAAUGUUUCUUUUAAACAAGGAGAGGGUGGCGAAGG